AAAAAAGCACUUUCAUAAGAACCAAAACUCAGGUACCAGCUCAGCCACAGCGGGGUAGAGCACCAAGCUCUUGGUGUGCCCAGUUCCAGGCCUUGAUUCUUGGAUGGCCUUUCUGGACCUGCCCUGGGCCACAGGGGAGCACACUUUCCUGAAGGUGUGAUUUGCUGCUCUUACCAUUAAGAGGUGAAAUCUCUUUCCUCGCUAUUUGAAUAUGACUGUGCCUGGUGAGUGACACUGAACGAAAGAAUGCAGCAGAAGUGAUGGUGUGCCAAUUCCAAGUCCAGGCUUUACUCUCUUGAGAUUCUUGCAAACAACGAUGUGUGCAAAUCCAGGAUGGCCUGCUGGAGGGAGACAAGUGAACCAUCACCAUCUUCACCCUGACCAACAGCCAGCCAAUCAUUAGACAGGAGUGAGGACAUCCUAGGCCAGCCACUGACCUGAUGACUGCAGAUCCAUGAGUGAGCUCUGCUCAGAUCAGCUAAAUAUGGCUGGCACCAAAAGAAUGACUCAGCUGACCCACAGAUUCAUGAGUUAAAUAUGUCCCUUUUGUUUUAAAUCACUAAGUGACUUAAUGAGUGAUAAAUGGCAUAGGGUUUAAACUAUCUUGUUAUGAAGAAGAAUAGUUGAACCACUUGCUCUGAGUAGAAGUCAAUGUAAGUCACAUUUUCAAUAAAAAAUACAGGUUUGUUGUUAUAUAACUUAAGGUAAAUGUGCUGGCCUAAAUUAUCUUUCCACUCUACUCAAGAGAAAUUACAGUCUGUAUUUCAAGGUCAUUCUGAUCAAAUUCUCAAAGCCAAUAAUGUCUCAAAAGUACUUGCAAAUAUUAAUAUAUUUUUAUUUGAUUUUAUUAGUCAUAUCAAAAAUCACUAAAUACUUAUGAAUAUUAUAAAAUUCUUGAGCUAUUUUCCUUUUAAAUUAAAACUUUUUAGUUUUAAAUAUAUUACAUGUUCAUUAAGAAAGAAAAAUGCAAAAAAAAAGUGCAAAGAAGAAAUUUUUGAAAAAAAGCCUAUAAUCCCAUUGAGCCACAAAGAAUUGUUUGACAUUUUAAGCUGACUUAGAGUUUCCCUAAAUGGUUUCCAAAUACAGACAGGGUCCAACUGGCCUCCUGCAGAUAGAAAUAUACUCUAUAUGCAAAUGAGAAAACUUCUGAAUUUAGUCUAAAAUAUAGUAUAGAUAUCUAUCAUGCAUACACAC
This 1194-nucleotide long non-coding RNA is filed under the name Homo sapiens (human). RNAcentral describes it as "HSALNT0311157". The record is from RNAcentral. Lineage: Eukaryota; Metazoa; Chordata; Mammalia; Primates; Hominidae.